This 422-nucleotide ribosomal RNA is filed under the name uncultured bacterium. RNAcentral's name for it is "bacterial SSU rRNA". It matches the Rfam family "Bacterial small subunit ribosomal RNA", at positions 355 to 774 of the family's 1533-position model. The record is from RNAcentral.
UGAGGAAUAUUGGGCAAUGCCCGCAAGGGUGACCCAGCAACGCCGCGUGGAGGAUGCAUGUCGUAAGAUUGUAAACUCCUGUUAGAGGGGAAGAAUAGUACCGGUUGGACCGGUAUAUGACUGUACCCUCAGAGAAAGCCCCGGCUAACUACGUGCCAGCAGCCGCGGUAAUACGUAGGGGGCAAGCGUUGUCCGGAUUUACUGGGUGUAAAGGGCGCGCAGGCGGGAUAAAAAGUCAGUGGUGAAAUCCUACAGCUUAACUGUAGAACUGCCUUUGAUACUUUUAUUCUUGAGUUCGGGAGAGAGAGACGGAAUUCCAGGGGUAGUGGUGAAAUACGUAGAUAUCUGGAAGAACACCAGUUGCGAAGGCGGUCUCUUGGUCCGACACUGACGCUGAGGCGCGAAAGCGUGGGGAGCAAACA